This 2062-nucleotide long non-coding RNA is filed under the name Mytilus galloprovincialis (Mediterranean mussel). Lineage: Eukaryota; Metazoa; Mollusca; Bivalvia; Mytilida; Mytilidae. The record is from RNAcentral.
CUUAUGUAUAAGUUGCCAUGUAAUAUUCUAUUUUUAGCUUACUCCUGAAAAUAAUGGCUCUUGAUACAAAGAAUUAUCAACAGCUGUAAUUCAUGUGAUUACAGUGUAAGAAGUACUUUGCACCACAAAUAUAGUUAAAAUAGUUUUGAACUAAAGGUAUUUUGCCAAAAUUUAAUUCAUUAUUUUUGUGUUAGAGAUGGUAUAAUAGCUGUGUAAUUUGCUUUUAUUUUACAUGCCUUAGGUAUGAGAAAUAUAUAUUGGCCACUUAUAUAACUGAAUGAUAUGGUUGUGGUCUUUGAUAGAUUGUUACAUUACAACAUGUGUGAAACCAUAGAAGAUAUAUCAUGCCUUGAGAAGUCAUUGAUAGUACUCCUAGGUUUUAUAUAUGUAGUAAUGAAACACUAGUUUGUGAUAUACAUUCAUGUCUCCUACUGCUUCAUAGAAGUAUAACUUACCAUCAGUCAUUUUCUGAGUACUAAAACUUUUACUGAAUUGGUAGCUCAACUUUCAUGAUUGUAUAAAUAACUAAUUUGUUUCACAAGUCUGAAAAAAGUAAAUCUGAUUAAAUAGGGGAGAUAACAACAAAAAUUCUUCUGUUAGGGAAAGCAUCAAAUUAUCUCCCUUAGGUACAAUGAUAAGGAGAGUUCAUUUCUCUUAUAUGUUAUAAUCAUGAUCGAAGUGGCCUACAUAUCCUAAUUUACCAUCAAAAGUCAUAUUUUGACAAUAGACUUAUUGUGCAUUCUAAGUGUAUCUACAGUGUUACUACUACAUUACUACAAUAGUAGUGAAAAUGCUAUUUAUAUUUGCAUAUGUUUGAACAUUUUUUCAUUUAAACUAGUCCAUGCUUAAUGCCAAAUUUGUAUAGUUCUAAGAAUCAUUGUAAAUAUUACCUUUUUGUUUUGUGAUAGGUAACAAGUGAAUAUUACUUUAUUGGCAAGAAUGUUUAAACAUAAGUGAUCGUGUCAAAUUUUGCUUUAAAAGGUUGUGGCUUUCUCCAUCAAUAAGAACUGACUGCCGGGAGAUAGCACAAUAAUAUUAAAAGUUGGGCUAAUUACCAAUUAACUUAUCAAUCAAAUUACUCUUUUCUCAAGUGCAAUAAAAUCUUGGGUCUAUUUUGGCAUUUGGUGUCUUAUAUUUGUAUUAUGGUAUUAAACAGUGUCCUAUGACCUGUACCUGCUUGUGCUAUUCAUACAAUUUAAAUAUUUUUAUUAAGCGUUAUUCCUUGAGAAUAAAUGUGGGAGGUUAGGAAAGGAAGAUUUAUUUUUGGACAAAGGUCAUGUCCAUUUAAUGAAUGCAAAACUUAUUAAGAAAGUAUAUUCUACUGUAUGGGCUACUAUAGUUGUUAAAGGUGUUGCUAAUCUCUAUAUAAUUUUGUCUCUGGUGGUGAAUUGUGUCUCAUUCCACAUCUUCUUAUUUUCAUAUUGUAUCAGUUUUUGAAUUAUGUUGACUUGAAAAUUAUCUCUGGUUGACUGCAUUUCAAAUUUACUAAUAUAGAUAACCCUUCUCAUAUAUGAACUUUAACCUGUGUAUUCAUUAGCUUAUAAUUGUGCAUUUUAUUUUUACUGUGACCAAGCUUUUUAACACAACAUAUGUUUUGUUAUUUUUUAUUGAAUCUGAAUAUAAGGUAAAAGAUUUAAAACUAUUUUUACAAAAAAUCUAAUGAAAAAAAUGGUAUAGUAUUAAGGUUUUUUUUUAUGAAAAGAGCCCCUGUAUUUUUGUGUCAGUUUAGAGAUUAGAGUUCGAACAAAUAUUGACAUCAUUGAUAACAUUCUCACAUCACAAAAUUUUCAUUUUAAAAUAAAUUCAGUCAUCACAGAGUUAAAAAUUUACUAAGAAUUAACUUACAUUGUUUGAAUACCACAUAUUCUGUUAUGCAGGAAGCCAGUUUGUACAUUUAUAUGUGUGAUGUACAAAGUUAAAAUUAGACAUGAUGAAGUAUAGGGGUUCACUGAAGGGAUUAUUAGUGAUGUGCCUUUUUCUUAACAAUAAUUUGAUUGUUGUCAUUCCCUAGAUCUCUGUAUAACAUUUCAAUCAUUACAUACAAAUACAUAUAUGAUAAGUG